UUGCAUUAAUUGUGGGAAAAUAAAGAUUAUCUUUUAUGCCCUAAAGGCAUGCUGACGAUUAUCAAGGUUUAAUUUGUUUAAAGUCUAGUUUUCAUAAAACUAGAAUUUAGGAGAGCUUGGUUUCAGUUCUGCCACCAAACACACACUCCUACUGGCUUAUUUGAUAUUAAGUCAGAGAACCUCUCAAAGCCAAGCCUUGGUUUUCUCUCUUUAAAAUGUAGAUUCAAACACACGUCUUGCUUACUUCUCAGAGUCAUUUUGACAAUCAAUGAGAUGAUGUAUGUGGAUGCAUUCAUUUAACGUCAAGCAGUUUAAAGGGGUAAUAAUUUUACUAUUCUGUUUCAAAUGAUAGGACACAAUUUUUUAUACCUGUGUGUCCAACAGGCAUUAUCACGUUAUCUCUUUUGUGACUUUUUCACAAACUAUUUCAAGAAAUCUUUACACAUAGCAAAGCUUGUGUAGAAUUAUGGUUUUGUUUGCUAUUCCUUGCAAUGAUUGUAUGCCUACACAGUAAUUUCAUGUAAUAGCCUCUGAUUCAUAGUCUCUUUCAUUCAGUGAUACAAGUAAUCUAACAGUCUAUAAAUAUAAUACAAACAAUUGAACCGACAGUGCGGUUUCUUCCAGAUAUCCAGUAACCAUUGCGUGACCUGUGGAAAGAAUGAAUGUAUGGUAUGAUAAUAAGAGACAAUCAAAGGAAAGGAAAGCAAACCAAAUACCCCAGGAGGUUCUUGGAAACCUAUUUCAUGCUGCAUCCAGUACUGAAGUCACUCAAGCACAGUGAAUCAGUGAGAAUAAAGAUAGAAAUAACUGAGUCUAACCUUAUAGAGAAUAUUCUACUGUGUUUAGUUUUGUGAAUUUUUUUUUCAUGUGGAAAAGGUCUUGAACACAACAGACAAAUCUGCUUUGUCAUUUAGAGGAAAGACAAUAACAAAUAUUGUUGAAAAUAUUGCUUAAGCUGCCAUUAGUGGAAAAUGAUGUGCAGCCUCAGAGGAGUUUUAAUUACCAAACAGAGAUUUCCUUAGUCAGCCUGCCUUUUCAUUGAGUCAUUUAUCCAUCCAUCUAGCCACCCACCUUCCAGCUACCAUCUAAUGUUUACUGAGUUCUUCUAUGCCAAAGAAGCAUGAGAGAUGUACUGCAUGAGCAAACAACAUGAACCCUGUCCCCAUGGAGCGUAUUCUAGUGGACCUUUAUUUUCGUAUUCAAGUGUGUCUCCAUGCAGGUAGAAGUUCUUUAGCAUGAAAAGCACAUUUGUUGGGCCGAUGGUGGAAACAGACCUCGUAGCUGAGUUUCCCUGGCCUCCGGUGCUGCGCUGAGGUUAUGGCCCGCUUCGUGGCUGGGCUGGGUGCACAGGGCCAGCGGGUGGUGUUGGUCACGUCAGGUGGCACCAAGGUCCCACUGGAGGUGUGACCGGCCCUUCUGCGAUGUUUUACAUGGUGUAGUCAUGUCAGAUUUCUAUGUUCCUGUCUCUGAAAUGCCUGAGCACAAGAUCCAGUCAUCUGGGGGCCCACUGCAGAGAACAGUGAAGAUGGUGCCAAAAAUACUUUCCCCUUUGAUUGAAGAUUGUGCUCCCAAAGCAUUUAUAAUUUCCUUUAAGUUGGAGACUGACCCCUCCAUUGUAAUUAAUCGAGCUCAGAAGGCUUUGGAAGUUUAUCAGCAUCAAGUGGUGGUGGCUAAUAUCCUUGAGUCAUGACAGUCCUUUGUGGUUAUUGUAGCCAGACACUCAGAAACCAAGUUAUAGCUAUCAGAGGAAGAAAUAGAAAAGUACAUAGAGAUAGAAGAGAAGAUAGUGGAUAAUCUUUAGUCUUGACACACAGCUUUAAUAUGUGACAAAAACUGAAGUAAAAAGCCCUUACAUUAUCAAAAAUUGUCCAGGGCUCUUACAGUUGGUGAAAACUAUAAUAAAGCCUUUGCUUUCAUAUGGACAGAGAAAAUGAAGGAAAGGGAAGACGCAGUGGUGCACAGGCAAAUAUGCUUUGGUAUUUGUCUUUUAAUGACACGUGAUACACUCGCCUGAAUGUCUUCUUGAUUUUGAAAUUGAACACUAGAACUGUUUCUCACUUUUAAAUAGAAGAGCUUAUUGGGAAGUAUAUAUUACUUUAGAUACACAUUGGGGCCUGAAUAUCAGCCUUCUUUAUACUGUAAAAAGAGGAUUAUGGAUGCAUGAAUGGUCAUGCUUUGAAAGUCAAAUAUUUGUUGAGUGCCUACUGUGUGUCAGGCCCUGUGCUGAGCCACGAGGGUUAAAAAGAUGAAUAAAUGUGUUUUAAAAAAAUAAAAGAAAAUCACAUUUGUUAUACAAUGAGAAUUUAACAUAGCUUAAUUGUUGGUGCUAUAUUUCUCUGGUUCUCCCCAUCCACCACUGCUUCUAAUUUCUACUUUGUUUUUUUUUUUUUUACUGUGCAGUUUAUACUUUUAUAUCCUGAUAACUCAUUUAUUCAUCUAGUGUUAGCAUCAUGAAGGUACUAGGAAUAUAUUACUAAAAGACAUAAUCUCUACCCUCCAGUUGACAGUAUGAUAGAUAAACCAAUAUAUGAAUAAGUCAUUCUAACACAGAACCACCAGUGUGAUGAGAGAUUGCACACAGUGUAUAGAGAUCAGAAGCCAGAAAAACCUCUUCCACCCUAAUUGGCCAUCUCCUUAUACACAGUCAUUUGAUUUAUAUUGCUAAAGUCAAGUUAAAUAGGGAGACAUUUCACUUCUGAUUGUGUCUUUUUGAGCAUCCCUGUGUCUGUUUUCUUGUAUAUACAGAUAAGCCAAGCUAUAGAAAAGGCUCUUGAUUUAGAAGCCACCAUGUCAUUAUUUUCCUGAGUCUCUCCAAAGGAUAAUAUGAGUUAUGUGUUGGAGGGCUGGCCUUGAGUAAUACCUUUUAAUUUUUGUAGAAUACAGGUCAUGGGAAUGUCUGUCUAAAGCAUUUUGUUGAUUUUCAUUUUCUAGAACUUGGGGAAAAAAAAGUUCAUUAUGUAUUUUGGGAUAUUUUGAGUAUUGUCCUAACCAGAUAUGGGCAUCCUGACUGAAUGAUUUCGGAGAAUCCCUUUUAACCCAGUAAGUUUUGGCUAAAUGUCCUUUCCUCUUUUACCGUCUGAUACUUAAACUCGUUAGAAGGCUCCAGAACAUCUCUAUGAUUUAGAAGACAUUUCUCCACAUUCAAGUUGUGACUUUUAUAUUUAAAGCGCAUUAUGGCUGGCCAGGCGCCAGUGGCUCACGCCUGUAAUCCCAGCAAUUUGGGAGGCCAAAGCAGGU
Cercocebus atys (sooty mangabey) is the source of this 3237-nucleotide RNA transcript. It is a transcript of the gene named phosphopantothenate--cysteine ligase pseudogene, with no coding region annotated. The record is from RefSeq and is a predicted model, not a curated record. Lineage: Eukaryota; Metazoa; Chordata; Mammalia; Primates; Cercopithecidae. The transcript has a single exon.